RNAcentral lists this ribosomal RNA (577 nucleotides) under uncultured bacterium. RNAcentral's name for it is "bacterial SSU rRNA". It matches the Rfam family "Bacterial small subunit ribosomal RNA", at positions 28 to 637 of the family's 1533-position model. The record is from RNAcentral.
AAUCAACGCUGGCGGCGUGCCUAACACAUGCAAGUCGAACGAGAAAGUGGAGCAAUCCAUGAGUAAAGUGGCGCACGGGUGAGUAACACGUGACUAACCUACCCUUGAGUGGGGGAUAACCUAGGGAAACCUGGGCUAAUACCGCAUAAUACCUUCGGGUCAAAGGAGCAAUUCGCUUAAGGAGGGGGUCGCGGCCGAUUAGUUAGUUGGCGGGGUAAUGGCCCACCAAGACUGUGAUCGGUAUCCGGCCUGAGAGGGCGCACGGACACACUGGAACUGAAACACGGUCCAGACUCCUACGGGAGGCAGCAGUGGGGAAUUUUGCGCAAUGGGGGAAACCCUGACGCAGCAACGCCGCGUGGAGGAUGAAGCCCCUUGGGGCGUAAACUCCUUUCGAUCGGGACGAUUAUGACGGUACCGGAAGAAGAAGCCCCGGCUAACUUCGUGCCAGCAGCCGCGGUAAUACGAGGGGGGCGAGCGUUGUUCGGAAUUAUUGGGCGUAAAGGGUGCGUAGGCGGUUUGGUAAGUCUUGUGUGAAAUCUCCGGGCUCAACUCGGAGUCUGCAUGAGAAACUGCC